CCUACGGGAGGCAGCAGUGAGGAAUCUUGGUCAAUGGGCGCGAGCCUGAACCAGCCAAGUAGCUUGAAGGAUGACUGCCCUACGGGUUGUACACUUCUUUUAUAAAGGAAUAAAGUGAGGCACGUGUGCCUUUUUGUAUGUACUUUAUGAAUAAGGAUCGGCUCACUCCGUGCCAGCAUCCGCGGUAAUACGGAGGAUCCGAGCGUUAUUCGGAUUUAUUGGGUUUAAAGGAAGCGUAGAUGGGUUGUUAAGUCAGUUGUGAAAGUUUGCGGCUCAACCGUAAAAUUGCAAUUGAUACUGGCAGCCUUGAGUACAGUUGAGGUAGGCGGAAUUCGUGGUGUAGCGGUGAAAUGCUUAGAUAUCACGAAGAACUCCGAUUGCGAAGGCAGCUUAAUAAACUGCCACUGACAUUGAUGCUCGAAAGUGUGGGUAUCAAACAGGAUUAGAUACCCUAGUAGUC
RNAcentral lists this ribosomal RNA (460 nucleotides) under uncultured bacterium. RNAcentral describes it as "partial 16S ribosomal RNA". It matches the Rfam family "Bacterial small subunit ribosomal RNA", at positions 338 to 795 of the family's 1533-position model. The record is from RNAcentral.